GCCCAGGUGGUGGAAUGGUAGACACGUACGUUUCAGGUGCGUAUGCUGCGAGGCAUGCAGGUUCGAGUCCUGUUCUGGGCA
Molecule: transfer RNA, 81 nt
Filed under: Bacteroidales bacterium
Lineage: Bacteria; Pseudomonadati; Bacteroidota; Bacteroidia; Bacteroidales
Also listed under: 1 other name
Description: tRNA-Leu
Rfam family: tRNA
About the family: Transfer RNA (tRNA) molecules are approximately 80 nucleotides in length. Their secondary structure includes four short double-helical elements and three loops (D, anti-codon, and T loops).
Source: RNAcentral